This 390-nucleotide long non-coding RNA is filed under the name Moschus moschiferus (Siberian musk deer). RNAcentral describes it as "lncRNA (ENSMMSG00000005708.1)". The record is from RNAcentral. Lineage: Eukaryota; Metazoa; Chordata; Mammalia; Artiodactyla; Moschidae.
CCUUGAUGGAUCUCUUUGAGUGAGGCAUGAUCAGAGGGAGAAAGAUGCAAAGCAAACUGAAUUAGUCUGCAUGAGAAAAGAAUGAAAGGGGAAAAAGUCAGCAAUGAUCCUGCCAUCUCUGACCAGAAGUCCGCCACAGAGUGCUCGAUGUUGCUGGCCUAGGGAACAAACAAGCCUGCCUACACUUACUGUGACAGCUGUCUGAUGGUUUAUUUGCUGUUCAUCAUCUCCCGCACUGGCUGUAAGCUCUUGGAGAGCAAGAAUCUUGCUGCUCCCUCUACCACUCUUUCUAGUGCCUAGAAGGUCAGUGGGAGUGCCAUACGCAUCUGUGAAUGAGUGAAUGGCUGACGGCCCCGCCUCCUCCCCUCUUUCCUUGUCCUGGGCAGGCUU